This 478-nucleotide ribosomal RNA is filed under the name uncultured anaerobic ammonium-oxidizing bacterium. RNAcentral describes it as "bacterial SSU rRNA". It matches the Rfam family "Bacterial small subunit ribosomal RNA", at positions 365 to 833 of the family's 1533-position model. The record is from RNAcentral.
UUCGCAAUGCCCGAAAGGGUGACGAAGCGACACCGCGUGGGUGAGGAAGGCCUUCGGGUUGUAAAGCCCUGUCAGGAGUUAAGAAAUGUAAGUGCGCUAAUACCGCAUUUAUUUGACGAAGGCUCCAAAGGAAGUCACGGCUAACUCUGUGCCAGCAGCCGCGGUAAUACAGAGGUGGCAAGCGUUGUUCGGAAUUAUUGGGCGUAAAGAGCACGUAGGUGGGUUUGUAAGUCAGAUGUGAAAGCCUCCUGUUCAACGGGAGAAUUGCAUCUGAAACUACAGAUCUUGAGUGUAGGAGGGGAGAAUGGAACUUCUGGUGGAGCGGUGAAAUGCGUAGAUAUCAGAAGGAACGCCGGCGGCGAAAGCGAUUCUCUGGCCUAUUACUGACACUCAGUGUGCGAAAGCUAGGGUAGCAAACGGGAUUAGAUACCCCGGUAGUCCUAGCCGUAAACGAUGGGCACUAAGUAGAGGGGUUUUA